This 22-nucleotide microRNA is filed under the name Drosophila pseudoobscura. Its description in RNAcentral is "dps-miR-2554-3p". Lineage: Eukaryota; Metazoa; Arthropoda; Insecta; Diptera; Drosophilidae. The record is from miRBase by way of RNAcentral.
UAUUGUCAGAUCUCUGUCCUCA